AGUCCUGCACGUUGAUGAUUUUGUUACGGAUCAAGGACUGGAGAAAGACACACACGAGACGCACCAGACGAUUCUGAAAAAGAAACUAAUUUUAGUGUGCGUUUUCUGGGCAGGUCUACACUUAGCAUUACACGUGCAAUACGCAUUGAGCACCAUGUCCCUGUGUGUUCCUGGCUGAAUCAGAAUUCAUAGUUAUCGUCCAAGCUCUAACAACCCGGGCAGUUAUUCUGUCCACGUAAGUACCGCUUACUAACCUGAUUACAGACGAGUGCUAUGCAAGGAACGCAUGUGAAGGAAGGCGUGGUAGUAACUGAACAGCACAGUGUAUAACUAAGUGCUAACAUGUGGCGUUUGCACAAAGAGUGAUGUAAGUGAAAGACUCGGGAAAAGUCAACAGAGCAAAUGACUUAAAUGGAAACCCAAGGAGAGAAGUGGUGUCCUUCCAGCUAAGUGGAUAAUCUGAGUGAACUGUGGAAUCGGGGAUGGGCGUGGCACACUCAGGAGCUGGUGGGAAAGCCCUGGCUGGAAGGUAGCAAAAGGCACCUUGGUCUAGAGUCUUCAAGGGGCGGCUGGUGUUUUCCAAAGGAUUCUGUGAAAUGUUUUAAGGUGGGGUGGGGGGAGGGUAAAGUAGGAAUCUCAUGCUCAGAUAAAGGUGUGUGCUAUGCUAACUAUACAGUAUGAAUUUCCAAAAGUUUUCUAAACUUAUUUGAUUAUAGAACUUUUUUCCACAAGGCUGAGGAACCCGUGCUCCAAGGAAACACCACCUGUGGGUGAUGCACCAUGAUGGGGGUGGCGCACGCAGAGCAGACCCUGUCCUUGAAAUUACUUCUGCACCACUGAUAAAAAGGUGCGGGUAUUCUCGGACUAAGUGCCUAACGGCUGGUUUAGACAGUAAGCGGGCACUUAGAGCAUGGUCGGCCCAGAGGCCCCGAGCAGGAGGCAGCCCCCAAAGAGGAGUGAGUCUCAGUAACAGGGAACGGCCGAAGGCCUGGAGGAGAGCGCAGAAAUGAAGCCGCAGGUCAGCAAGCGGCCAGCCGGUUUUGCCGGCACAGAAAGUUAAAGGUGACUACCUCGUGCUUCCCUCCCACAAAUCUGCGUGCUCCUACACACACGCUUGGGAUCCCUCGGCUUCCAGCCAGGCUUUUCCCACCAGCUGAUUAUAACUUCAUUGUGGUUUUUUUUGUUUUGGGGGGGUUUUUUGGCUACACCAUGUGGUUUGCAAGAUCUUAGUUCCCCCACCAGGGAUGGAACCUGGGCCCUUGGCAGUAAAAGUGCAGAGUCCUAACCUCUGGACCGCCAGGGAUUCCCAGGACAUAUUCUUUAGUACAGCUUUAAGUAGGUUAAAAAACAAUCCCCAACUUACAAACGAGUGAGUGUUCAACUGAAGUGCAGUUGCGUAGCACUCAGAAUGGACCGCCCCAUGAGCAGAAAAACUAUA
Aethalodelphis obliquidens (Pacific white-sided dolphin) is the source of this 1438-nucleotide long non-coding RNA. RefSeq lists it as uncharacterized. The transcript has 2 exons. The record is from RefSeq and is a predicted model, not a curated record. NCBI's taxonomy places the organism in Eukaryota, Metazoa, Chordata, Mammalia, Artiodactyla, Delphinidae.